Molecule: small nuclear RNA, 22 nt
Filed under: Arabidopsis thaliana (thale cress)
Lineage: Eukaryota; Viridiplantae; Streptophyta; Magnoliopsida; Brassicales; Brassicaceae
Description: snRNA_08759
Source: RNAcentral
ACAUCAAACACAACAACAACAA